AUUGAACGCUGGCGGCAGGCUUAACACAUGCAAGUCGAGCGGGGGGAGGUAGCUUGCUACCGGACCUAGCGGCGGACGGGUGAGUAAUGCUUAGGAAUCUGCCUAUUAGUGGGGGACAACAUCUCGAAAGGGAUGCUAAUACCGCAUACGUCCUACGGGAGAAAGCAGGGGAUCUUCGGACCUUGCGCUAAUAGAUGAGCCUAAGUCGGAUUAGCUAGUUGGUGGGGUAAAGGCCUACCAAGGCGACGAUCUGUAGCGGGUCUGAGAGGAUGAUCCGCCACACUGGGACUGAGACACGGCCCAGACUCCUACGGGAGGCAGCAGUGGGGAAUAUUGGACAAUGGGGGGAACCCUGAUCCAGCCAUGCCGCGUGUGUGAAGAAGGCCUUAUGGUUGUAAAGCACUUUAAGCGAGGAGGAGGCUACUUUAGUUAAUACCUAGAGAUAGUGGACGUUACUCGCAGAAUAAGCACCGGCUAACUCUGUGCCAGCAGCAGCCGCCG
This 501-nucleotide ribosomal RNA is filed under the name uncultured bacterium. Its description in RNAcentral is "partial 16S ribosomal RNA". It matches the Rfam family "Bacterial small subunit ribosomal RNA", at positions 30 to 523 of the family's 1533-position model. The record is from RNAcentral.